AUUGAACGCUGGCGGCAGGCCUAACACAUGCAAGUCGAGCGGAUGAAGGGAGCUUGCUCCUGGAUUCAGCGGCGGACGGGUGAGUAAUGCCUAGGAAUCUGCCUGGUAGUGGGGGAUAACGUCCGGAAACGGGCGCUAAUACCGCAUACGUCCGAGGGAGAAAGUGGGGGAUCUUCGGACCUCACGCUAUCAGAUGAGCCUAGGUCGGAUUAGCUAGUUGGUGGGGUAGAGGCCUACCAAGGCGACGAUCCGUAACUGGUCUGAGAGGAUGAUCAGUCACACUGGAACUGAGACACGGUCCAGACUCCUACGGGAGGCAGCAGUGGGGAAUAUUGGACAAUGGGCGAAAGCCUGAUCCAGCCAUGCCGCGUGUGUGAAGAAGGUCUUCGGAUUGUAAAGCACUUUAAGUUGGGAGGAAGGGCAGUAAGUUAAUACCUUGCUGUUUUGACGUUACCAACAGAAUAAGCACCGGCUAACUUCGUG
RNAcentral lists this ribosomal RNA (483 nucleotides) under uncultured bacterium. Its description in RNAcentral is "partial 16S ribosomal RNA". It matches the Rfam family "Bacterial small subunit ribosomal RNA", at positions 30 to 507 of the family's 1533-position model. The record is from RNAcentral.